This is an RNA transcript of Phyllopteryx taeniolatus (common seadragon), 1671 nucleotides long. RefSeq lists it as uncharacterized. The transcript has 3 exons. Lineage: Eukaryota; Metazoa; Chordata; Actinopteri; Syngnathiformes; Syngnathidae. The record is from RefSeq and is a predicted model, not a curated record.
UGAACUGGUCGCCAGCCAAUUGCAGGGCACAUAUAAACACAGAUAACAAGCAACCCUUUAUUGCUCAUUGACUGUUUUUCUCAAUGUCUUUAUGUCUCAAAAGUGUUCUCUGUCAAUUGACUGUCUGUUGUCGUACUAGAGCGGCUCCAACUACCGGAGACAAAUUCCUUGUGUGUUUUUUGGAUGUACUUGGGAAAUAAAGAUGAUUCUGAUUCUGAACAACCAUUCACACCUACAGACAAUUUAGAGUCUUCAAUCAACCUACCAUGCAAGUUUUUGGCAUGUGGGAGGAAACCGGAGUACCCGGAGAAAACCCACCCAGGCACGGGGAGAACAUGCAAACUCCACACAGUUGACGUUGGACGAGAGACAGGGUACACCCUGCACUGGUCGCCAACCAGUACAACCAGUAUGAGGAAGCUGGAGCAUCCGUAGAAAACCUACACAAGCACGGGGAAAACAUGAAGACUUCAUACCGACCUGGAUCACUUGCUGUGAUUGAUGGACCCAUGAAUUCUGCUCUUCACCAGAAAAUCCUUAAGGACAAUCUUCAGCCAUCAGGUCAUGACCUCAAACUAUACCACACUUGGUUUCUGCAGCAGGACAACCAUCCAAAAUUCACCAGCAAGUCAGCUUCUGAAUGGCUUAAAAAAUAAAUGAAGGUUUUGGAGUGGCCUAGUCAAAGUCAGCACUUGAAUCCCAUUGAAAUGCUGUGGCAGCCUACAAAGGCUGUUCAUGCUCGAAAACCCUCCACUGUUGCUGAAUUAAAACAAUUCUGCAAGGAAGAGUGUGCCACAAUAUCUCUACAGAGCUGUGAAAGACUGAUUGCCAGGUAUGGAAAAUGCUUGAUUUCACUUGUUGCUGCUUCGAGGUCAAUUACUUUUUCACACAGGGUCAGGUAUAUGAAUAGUUCCCCCCCCCCCUCCCCCUCCCCCCCCGUGCCCCCCGUCCCCACAUGUAAAAACUGCAUUCUAUGUUUACUUGUUUUAUCAUUGUCUGAUAUUUACGAUUGUUUGAUUAACUGAAAUAUUAAAGUGGGAGAACUGCCAAAAAAUAAAUAAAUAAGAAUUUGACAUGGGGCAAUACUUUUUCACGGCACUGUAGAACACAUCCAAGUUUUAAUCACUUUGAAAUUUCUCUAUGGAAAAAGUACACACUUUACAAUUCUCUGACAAUAUUUCCUGAAUUUAUAGUUGACAAAGCCCCCUCAUAAAUUUCUAGGUGACUAAGAUAUUUUUUCAAAUCCAUAUGAUAAUCUGUGUAUGUUAUGCUUUGUUAUGAAUUUUAAAAACUUAUUGAGUGGUUACUAAUUCUCCACUCUCCACUUUUUUUUUUUCAAUGCAUGUUUGAGUGCCAAAUUAAACCACACCACCAACACCUGACUGCGAUCUGCAAACCCUGUUUGGCUCUUGGAAAUUAUUUUGCAAACGUGGGUUUCUAUAAUUAUUAUAAGUCAUGAUAAUGUAUAAUCAUAUAAUCAGAAUUAAACACAACUAGGAGUAACUUUCACGACCAAAACUGAGACUAACGGUAGCAAAACCUCGGUAUAGUAUUAAUUAGCAUAGAGCAUAGCAUAGAUAGCAUAGAUAUUUACCUUCCAGGAUUCUCUCUUGGCGGUUUCACCGGAGCCUGGAAUAAGUCGUCCAUAACGUUUCAACCUCCACGUCACAC